RNAcentral lists this ribosomal RNA (468 nucleotides) under uncultured bacterium. RNAcentral's name for it is "partial 16S ribosomal RNA". It matches the Rfam family "Bacterial small subunit ribosomal RNA", at positions 28 to 507 of the family's 1533-position model. The record is from RNAcentral.
GACGAACGCUGGCGGCGCGCCUAACACAUGCCAGUCGAACGGAGUCAAGAGGAGCUUGCUUUUCUUGACUUAGUGGCGAACGGGUGAGUAACGCGUGAGUAACCUGCCCUGGAGUGGGGGACAACAGUUGGAAACGACUGCUAAUACCGCAUAAGCCCACGGAUCUGCAUGGAUCUGCGGGAAAAGGAUUUAUUCGCUCUAGGAUGAACUCGCGUCCAAUUAGCUAGUUGGUGCGGUAACGGCCCACCAAGGCGACGAUUGGUAGCCGGACUGAGAGGUUGAACGGCCACAUUGGGACUGAGACACGGCCCAGACUCCUACGGGAGGCAGCAGUGGGGGAUAUUGCACAAUGGGGGAAACCCUGAUGCAGCGACGCCGCGUGGAGGAAGAAGGUUUUCGGAUUGUAAACUCCUGUCGUUAGGGACGAUAAUGACGGUACCUAACAAGAAAGCACCGGCUAACUACGUG